Molecule: ribosomal RNA, 252 nt
Filed under: uncultured bacterium
Lineage: Bacteria
Description: partial 16S ribosomal RNA
Rfam family: Bacterial small subunit ribosomal RNA
Source: RNAcentral
GUCCACGCCGUAAACGAUGAGUACUAAGUGUUGGAGAAAUUCAGUGCUGUAGUUAACGCAAUAAGUACUCCGCCUGAGUAGUACGUGCGCAAGCAUGAAACUCAAAGGAAUUGACGGGACCCCGCACAAGCGGUGGAUCAUGUUGUUUAAUUCGAAGAUACGCGAAGAACCUUACCAGGUCUUGACAUCCCCUGCAAAGCUAUAGAGAUAUAGUGGAGGUUACCAGGGUGACAGGUGGUGCAUGGUUGUCGU